AAGAAGUUAGUUAAAAUUUUAAUAAUAUUGAACUGUCAAAUCAAAGUAAUAUCUUUUACUUCUUA
RNAcentral lists this transfer RNA (65 nucleotides) under Cacopsylla coccinea. Its description in RNAcentral is "tRNA-Asp". Lineage: Eukaryota; Metazoa; Arthropoda; Insecta; Hemiptera; Psyllidae. The record is from RNAcentral.